UACGUAGGGGUCUAGCGUUGUCCGGAAUCAUUGGGCGUAAAGAGCUCGUAGGCGGUUCGGCAAGUCGGAUGUGAAAUCUCCACGCUCAACGUGGAGGGGCCAUUCGAAACUGCCGUGACUCGAGUCCGGUAGGGGAGUGCGGAAUUCCGGGUGUAGCGGUGGAAUGCGUAGAGAUCCGGAAGAACACCGGUGGCGAAGGCGGCCUGCUGGGAUCUUGCUGACGCUGAGGCGCGACAGUGUGGGGAGCGAACAGG
Molecule: ribosomal RNA, 254 nt
Filed under: uncultured bacterium
Lineage: Bacteria
Description: partial 16S ribosomal RNA
Rfam family: Bacterial small subunit ribosomal RNA
Source: RNAcentral